RNAcentral lists this ribosomal RNA (495 nucleotides) under uncultured bacterium. RNAcentral describes it as "bacterial SSU rRNA". It matches the Rfam family "Bacterial small subunit ribosomal RNA", at positions 8 to 477 of the family's 1533-position model. The record is from RNAcentral.
AGAGUUUGAUCAUGGCUCAGAACAAACGCUGGCGGCGUGCCUAACACAUGCAAGUCGUACGAGAAAGUUCGCUUCGGCGGAUGAGUAAAGUGGCGAACGGGUGAGUAACGCGUGGAUAAUCUGCCCUUUUGUUGGGGAUAACCUAUCGAAAGAUGGGCUAAUACCCGAUAAUACUGCAUUCACUGCGGUGAGUGCAGUCAAAGAGGGCCUCUGUUUACAAGCUUUUGCUGAAGGAGGAGUCCGCGUACCAUUAGCUAGUUGGUAGGGUAAUGGCCUACCAAGGCGACAAUGGUUAGCUGGUCUGAGAGGAUGAUCAGCCACACUGGAACUGAAACACGGUCCAGACUCCUACGGGAGGCAGCAGUGAGGAAUUUUGCGCAAUGGGGGAAACCCUGACGCAGCAACGCCGCGUGAGUGAGGAAGGUUUUCGGAUCGUAAAGCUCUGUCAGAUGGGAAGAAAUGCAGGGAAGUUAAUAUCUUUUCUGCUUGACGGUA